AGGGUUUGAUUCUGGCUCAGGACGAACGCUGGCGGCGCGCCUAACACAUGCAAGUCGAACGAGAGAGGGGGAGCUUGCUCCCUUGAUCGAGUGGCGAACGGGUGAGUAACGCGUGAGGAACCUGCCUCAAAGAGGGGGACAACAGUUGGAAACGACUGCUAAUACCGCAUAAGCCCACGGCUCGGCAUCGAGCAGAGGGAAAAGGAGUGAUCCGCUUUGAGAUGGCCUCGCGUCCGAUUAGCUAGUUGGUGAGGUAACGGCCCACCAAGGCGACGAUCGGUAGCCGGACUGAGAGGUUGAACGGCCACAUUGGGACUGAGACACGGCCCAG
This 331-nucleotide ribosomal RNA is filed under the name uncultured bacterium. RNAcentral describes it as "bacterial SSU rRNA". It matches the Rfam family "Bacterial small subunit ribosomal RNA", at positions 8 to 334 of the family's 1533-position model. The record is from RNAcentral.